GAGCGAUGACUUUCGUAGCUUGCACAGAAAGAUUAGUGGCGAACGGGUGAGUAACACGUGAGUAACCUGCCCCUGACUCUGGGAUAAGCCUGGGAAACUGGGUCUAAUACUGGAUAUGCACCGUAGACCGCACGGUUUUUGGUGGAAAGAAUUUUGGUCAGGGAUGGACUCGCGGCCUAUCAGCUUGUUGGUGAGGUAAUGGCUCACCAAGGCGACGACGGGUAGCCGGCCUGAGAGGGUGACCGGCCACACUGGGACUGAGACACGGCCCAGACUCCUACGGGAGGCAGCAGUGGGGAAUAUUGCACAAUGGGCGAAAGCCUGAUGCAGCGACGCCCGUGAGGGAUGACGGCCUUCGGGUUGUAAACCUCUUUCAGUAGGGAAGAAGCGAAAGUGACGGUGCCUGCAGAAGAAGCGCCGGCUAACUACGUGCCAGCAGCCGCGGUAAUACGUAGGGGCGCGAGCGUUAUCCGGAAUUAUUGGGCGUAAAGAGCUCGUAGGCGGUUUGUCGCGUCUGCCGUGAAAGUCCGAGGCUCAACUUCGGAUCUGCGGUGGGUACGGGCAGACUAGAGUGAUGUAGGGGAGACUGGAAUUCCUGGUGUAGCGGUGAAAUGCGCAGAUAUCAGGAGGAACACCGAUGGCGAAGGCAGGUCUCUGGGCAUCUACUGACGCUGAGGAGCGAAAGCAUGGGGAGCGAACAGGAUUAGAUACCCUGGUAGUCCAUGCCGUAAACGUUGGGCACUAGGUGUGGGGGACAUUCCACGUUUUCCGCGCCGUAGCUAACGCAUUAAGUGCCCCGCCUGGGGAGUACGGCCGCAAGGCUAAAACUCAAAGGAAUUGACGGGGGCCCGCACAAGCGGCGGAGCAUGCGGAUUAAUUCGAUGCAACGCGAAGAACCUUACCAAGGCUUGACAUGUGCUAGAUCGCCAUAGAAAUAUGGUUUCCCCUUUGGGGCUGGUUCACAGGUGGUGCAUGSUUGUCGUCAGCUCGUGUCGUGAGAUGUUGGGUUAAGUCCCGCAACGAGCGCAACCCUCUUUCUAUGUUGCCAGCACGUUAUGGUGGGGACUCAUAGGAGACGCCGGGGUCAACUCGGAGGAAGGUGGGGAAGAGUCAAAUCAUCAUGCCCCUUAUUCUUGGGCUUCACCCCUGCUACAAUGGCCGGUACAAUGGGGUGCGAUACUGUGAGGUGGAGCUAAUCCCAAAAAACCGGUCUCACUUCGGAUUGGGGUCUGCAACUCGACCCCAGAAGUGGGAGUCGCUAGUAAUCGCAGAUCAGCAACGCUGCGGUGAAUACGUUCCCGGGCCUUGUACACACCCCCCCUCAAGUCCCGAAAAUUGGUAACCCCUAAAGCUGGUGGCCUAACCC
Molecule: ribosomal RNA, 1366 nt
Filed under: Arthrobacter sp. IARI-L-100
Lineage: Bacteria; Bacillati; Actinomycetota; Actinomycetes; Micrococcales; Micrococcaceae
Description: 16S ribosomal RNA
Rfam family: Bacterial small subunit ribosomal RNA
Source: RNAcentral